AAGGGCAUCUGGUGGAUGCCUUGGCGCUGAGAGGCGAUGAAGGACGUGGCACGCUGCGAAAAGUCAUGGGGAGCUGCGAGCAAGCUUUGAUCCGUGAAUAUCCGAAUGGGGAAACCCACCUAGCAAUAGGUAUCCCAAACUGAAUACAU
Molecule: ribosomal RNA, 149 nt
Filed under: Oryza sativa Indica Group (long-grained rice)
Lineage: Eukaryota; Viridiplantae; Streptophyta; Magnoliopsida; Poales; Poaceae
Description: rRNA 5_8S_rRNA
Rfam family: Bacterial large subunit ribosomal RNA
Source: RNAcentral